RNAcentral lists this transfer RNA (93 nucleotides) under Candidatus Pelagibacteraceae bacterium. RNAcentral's name for it is "tRNA-Ser". It matches the Rfam family "tRNA". Rfam says of the family: Transfer RNA (tRNA) molecules are approximately 80 nucleotides in length. Their secondary structure includes four short double-helical elements and three loops (D, anti-codon, and T loops). Lineage: Bacteria; Pseudomonadati; Pseudomonadota; Alphaproteobacteria; Candidatus Pelagibacterales; Candidatus Pelagibacteraceae. The record is from RNAcentral.
GGAAGGAUGGGUGAGCUGGCUGAAACCACACGUUUGCUAAAUGUGCAAAGAUGGAAACGUCUUUCGAGAGUUCGAAUCUCUCUCCUUCCGCCA